AAAAGCAUGAAAGUCACAACAUCUGUUCCGCACUCUUCGAACUCGGUAGCAUUCAUCCAAUAACUACAACUCAACCAAUUAACUCCGAAAAAUUAUAAAUAAAUAAAUAGAUAAAUAAAUAAGAACUAACUGUUGCUAUUCAAAUAUGUUGUAACUAUCUUCCAUAGAUUCGCAUUUAGCGAAAUUGACUCCCGUUCGCAACAGUUGCUUCUGCCUCCACCCAGGAGGGAAUCCCUACUUACGUAGCUAUGACGUCAAUGAUGGACACCGGUGUCUAUCCAUGUGUGUGCCUGUGUUUACAUCGUACAACCUCUUCACGUGUAUCUUUUAUGUGUCUGUGCCAGAGAAAGAGAGGCAGACAUUCACGUGUGCUUCUAUGUGAACGAUCUGCUUACGUGUGCUUUGGCGACUGUAUGUAAAAUGUGUACGUCGAAGCUGGAACGAUUGUGCUGUUGUAACAGUAAGAACCCAUCUGCACACCGCUGCACCCACGUGAACAGUUAAAUAUGGCUGCCGAAGCUGCAUCCAGGAAGGCGUGCACUCCACUUUCUCGCUUUAAUACAUCUUGGAUUACAAUUGCAGCAAAUAAGAAGACACUGGUUAGUAGUGUUGUCUCCAAUAUUAUCACAGACAUCGUUGUUAUAAAGCAGGCGCCGCUAAAACUGUCGCAACUACUCUGGUAUUAAGGAACGGAGGAGGCUGUUCACAACAUUUCUGCUUCUUGUGAAGGGCUGCAAAUUGAUUCCCGGUCGGUCCGCUGUCUUCAAUUUGAAUUGUUUUCUGAUAGAAAGAUACCUGUGCGUCGGCUGUACCCGAGCCUGAAGCCUGUGGAAUAAUAAUAAUAACCGAGGCGGCAUCCGCUUCACGCAAUUCCUGUAUUUGUUGCCUGUAUCCGAAGCAUUCAACCAGCAGCGACUACUAUAGAGGUGCAAUAAUUACGGCACGCACUUCACUCUCUCUUCUCUCCCUGCAAUCUUUGAAUAGGGGUCACACUAAACUCCCUGGAAAAUUGUUUCAAAGGGAAAAACAACACGAAACGAAAAACCAAAUUGCAUAUUUCUUAUUAUUUGUUUGAAUUAUUGAAACAAUCAAGUUUAUUAAACCUUUAUAAACUGUUCGUCACCUUCAGCUACGGAAACAUGAAUAUUCUGUAUAUCGGGGCCAAAUGAAAUUAUUAUUUUUCUCCGUAUUUAUCUUUUUUUCUUUUUGCGGAAAACAGCAUAAACGUUGUUAAAUUUCAUAUUUAUAUCGAAAGCUUUUACAAUUAAUCUCUGAUUAAAUAACAGCUGAAAUACGCACCUACGUUGAUAAUAUAUAUAUAUAUGCAUAUAUGAUGUAUUGAGGAGUUAUACCCUCCAGAAAAUACUCAGCCUUCAGUAAUAUAUAUAUAUAUCUGCAAGUGAAUUGGACCCAAAUUUAAGGGGCGGAGUAAAUCGUCCACUUUGCUGAAAGGAUCGAAAAUAACCUGCGGGUGAAAAUAAAUAUACAAUAAAACCGCCGCUGCUAUCACACACACACACACAAAUAAGAAAAGCAAUAAUAUUUAAAAGAAGUGGAAACUUUAAAGAAGAGUGGGGGAAAAAAUGUGGCUAAUUUUAAUUUGUUGAUAUUGUUGUUUUGCAAAGACUGAGGUGCGAAUCGUUUGUUUUUGGUGUGUGUCGAGCAUCGAGUGAAUCCUGGAAUUGUGGACGUGACCUUUUCUGGUGGUUGUUUUCGUUCCUGGCAGAAGAUACAGCCCUUACAACAACAACAACAACAACAACAGCGGCAACAACAACAACAACAACAGCAGCAGCAACAGCAACAACAACAACAACAACUGCAGCAGCAGCAGCAGCAGCAGCAGCAACUAGGAACAUAUUUAUCUCCAGGUUCAAAAAUCUCUACAAAUAAUAAAACUUGAAGACAUUCGACCUCUGUAUAACUUAUCAAUAAAAUCCACGAUAAAUA
Molecule: long non-coding RNA, 1950 nt
Organism: Octopus bimaculoides (California two-spot octopus)
Lineage: Eukaryota; Metazoa; Mollusca; Cephalopoda; Octopoda; Octopodidae
Source: RefSeq, a predicted model, not a curated record